UCUUAGGUCUUUCUUUUGGGUUCUUCUAGAGCUUAGAAUUUUAUAUAAUUUUUAGCAUAAAAAAUCAGAUUAGAUCUGAUUUUCAUCAUAAAAAAUUAAAGAAAAAAAGUUCUUCUUAAAAGUAUGAAAGGAAGAGAGAAAGAUUCUCUCUUCUGUAUGGGAGAAUUAAGAAGAAAGAAUUUUUCUCUUGAUCUUUAUUAUAGAGAUCUGAUGUAUGAAUCCAGGAAGAAAAGGGAAGGAUCCCUUUAUUCUUUAUCUUCAUCAUGUUUCUCUUAGAUCAGUCAAAGUAUGGUGUCUUCGCAAGCUAGCACUUUCGG
This 317-nucleotide long non-coding RNA is filed under the name Elaeis guineensis (African oil palm). RNAcentral describes it as "long non-coding RNA (EGUI_LNC059880)". The record is from RNAcentral. Lineage: Eukaryota; Viridiplantae; Streptophyta; Magnoliopsida; Arecales; Arecaceae.